Molecule: transfer RNA, 67 nt
Filed under: Haedus sp.
Lineage: Eukaryota; Metazoa; Arthropoda; Insecta; Hemiptera; Tingidae
Description: tRNA-Ile
Source: RNAcentral
AAUACUAGAUGCCUGAUUAAAGGGUUAUUUUGAUAGAAUAAAUUAUGUAUUUUUAAUACUCUUAUUA